RNAcentral lists this transfer RNA (69 nucleotides) under Bromeliohyla melacaena. Its description in RNAcentral is "partial tRNA-Ile". The record is from RNAcentral. Lineage: Eukaryota; Metazoa; Chordata; Amphibia; Anura; Hylidae.
GGAAGCGUGCCUGAUAUAAAGGAUCUCCUUGAUAGGGAGGAUCAUAGGGGCUCAACCCCCUCGCUUCCU